GGGAGGACCUGAGCAGAAUGUUUCCAGAUUCAGAAGUCCAGUUAACUCCGGCCUUCAUUGGAGGUGGACGGGUUUGACCCAAUGACUGUCUUCGAGUAGCAAUUGACAUGUUGGCCAACUUGUUGGCUGUUUCUGAAACACCACGAGCAGUUCUGCCCUUGUUUAUAGAAGCUGCAAUAAAAAAAAACUUAAACAUUGAGCUUAUUUUCAAAGCAUAGAAGCAACUAUCUAACACGCCUUUGGCAGUGAGAAGUUGCAUAGCUGCUUCAUGAACUUUUGUUCAAAAUAUUUAUCUUGAACGAAAAACAACCACUUGAAAUGAUUAUGCAUGACAAUUGGCUUAAAUUGACUGAAUGACUACUAGGAUCAUUAUAAGCAUUCAUGUAUUUUUAUUGCAUACCCCCACAAAUACAUUUAGAUUCCUUUAUUAAUUUAAUUCACCCACAUUUUUCAGUAACGGCAAUAAAAGUAAAUAUACAAUAAUAAUUAACCAUCAACAUAAGUGCUUACUCGGACUGUCUUUUCCUGGCGGUCGAUAUUUUGAUGGUUGAGUAGUCUUCACUGUUUUCUUAUUUUUAGUUCCAU
RNAcentral lists this long non-coding RNA (585 nucleotides) under Medicago truncatula (barrel medic). RNAcentral describes it as "lncRNA gene48112". The record is from RNAcentral. Lineage: Eukaryota; Viridiplantae; Streptophyta; Magnoliopsida; Fabales; Fabaceae.